AAGCUAUUUAAUUUCAUUUGAAUUU
This 25-nucleotide transfer RNA is filed under the name Meloidogyne incognita (southern root-knot nematode). RNAcentral's name for it is "partial tRNA-His". Lineage: Eukaryota; Metazoa; Nematoda; Chromadorea; Rhabditida; Meloidogynidae. The record is from RNAcentral.